GGGAAAGGUAACUCCUUUGGGAGCUUGAUAGAUAUUGGUGCUUCUUUUUCAAGGCCAGAUAUUUCUGUACACAUUCCAAAUAAAUAUAUUGAGAGGAAAAGAGAGAGAGAAUGUAUACAAGUCAAAAGGUCUGUUCAGAAAAAUGCAAGAGUACAUAAAAGGCAUCAAAACGACUUUCAACAAGUAUACAGCCACUAAAAUACCCUCUUCUCAGGGAAGUACAAGUCUGAUGCCCACAUAAUAAUGUAGACUCGCCUUUGAACUCCUUGUAGCACAGUUUAUACUCAGAAAAGGUUAUCAACAUGUUAUACCCUCAAGGACGAACAAAAACAAAUUUAUAACAAUAAUAAUUAAUAAUAGCAGCAGUUGUAGUGAUAAAGUACAAU
Molecule: unclassified non-coding RNA, 386 nt
Filed under: Hevea brasiliensis (rubber tree)
Lineage: Eukaryota; Viridiplantae; Streptophyta; Magnoliopsida; Malpighiales; Euphorbiaceae
Source: RNAcentral